UUAAGCGACUAAGCGUACACGGUGGAUGCCCUGGCAGUCAGAGGCGAUGAAGGGCGUGCUAAUCUGCGAUAAGCGCCGGUAAGGUGAUAUGAACCGUUAUAACCGGCGAUACCCGAAUGGGGAAACCCAGUGUGACUCGUCACACUAUCAUUAACUGAAUCCAUAGGUUAAUGAGGCGAACCGGGGGAACUGAAACAUCUAAGUACCCCGAGGAAAAGAAAUCAACCGAGAUUCCCCCAGUAGCGGCGAGCGAACGGGGAGUAGCCCAGAGCCUGAAUCAGCAUGUGUGUUAGUGGAAGCGUCUGGAAAGGCGCGCGAUACAGGGUGACAGCCCCGUACACAAAAGCGCAUGUGCUGUGAGCUCGAUGAGUAGGGCGGGACACGUGGUAUCCUGUCUGAAUAUGGGGGGACCAUCCUCCAAGGCUAAAUACUCCUGACUGACCGAUAGUGAACCAGUACCGUGAGGGAAAGGCGAAAAGAACCCCGGCGAGGGGAGUGAAAAAGAACCUGAAACCGUGUACGUACAAGCAGUGGGAGCACCCUUUGGGGUGUGACUGCGUACCUUUUGUAUAAUGGGUCAGCGACUUAUAUUCUGUAGCAAGGUUAACCGAAUAGGGGAGCCGUAGGGAAACCGAGUCUUAAUUGGGCGUUAAGUUGCAGGGUAUAGACCCGAAACCCGGUGAUCUAGCCAUGGGCAGGUUGAAGGUUGGGUAACACUAACUGGAGGACCGAACCGACUAAUGUUGAAAAAUUAGCGGAUGACCUGUGGCUGGGGGUGAAAGGCCAAUCAAACCGGGAGAUAGCUGGUUCUCCCCGAAAGCUAUUUAGGUAGCGCCUCGUGAACUCAUCUCCGGGGGUAGAGCACUGUUUCGGCUAGGGGGCCAUCCCGGCUUACCAACCCGAUGCAAACUGCGAAUACCGGAGAAUGUUAUCACGGGAGACACACGGCGGGUGCUAACGUCCGUCGUGAAGAGGGAAACAACCCAGACCGCCAGCUAAGGUCCCAAAGUCAUGGUUAAGUGGGAAACGAUGUGGGAAGGCCCAGACAGCCAGGAUGUUGGCUUAGAAGCAGCCAUCAUUUAAAGAAAGCGUAAUAGCUCACUGGUCGAGUCGGCCUGCGCGGAAGAUGUAACGGGGCUAAACCAUGCACCGAAGCUGCGGCAGCGACACUGUGUGUUGUUGGGUAGGGGAGCGUUCUGUAAGCCUGUGAAGGUGGCCUGUGAGGGUUGCUGGAGGUAUCAGAAGUGCGAAUGCUGACAUAAGUAACGAUAAAGCGGGUGAAAAGCCCGCUCGCCGGAAGACCAAGGGUUCCUGUCCAACGUUAAUCGGGGCAGGGUGAGUCGACCCCUAAGGCGAGGCCGAAAGGCGUAGUCGAUGGGAAACGGGUUAAUAUUCCCGUACUUGGUGUUACUGCGAAGGGGGGACGGAGAAGGCUAUGUUGGCCGGGCGACGGUUGUCCCGGUUUAAGCGUGUAGGUGUGUGUUCCAGGUAAAUCCGGUUCACUUUAACACUGAGGCGUGACGACGAGGCACUACGGUGCUGAAGCAACAAAUGCCCUGCUUCCAGGAAAAGCCUCUAAGCAUCAGGUAACAUCAAAUCGUACCCCAAACCGACACAGGUGGUCAGGUAGAGAAUACCAAGGCGCUUGAGAGAACUCGGGUGAAGGAACUAGGCAAAAUGGUGCCGUAACUUCGGGAGAAGGCACGCUGACACGUAGGUGAAGUGAUUUACUCACGGAGCUGAAGUCAGUCGAAGAUACCAGCUGGCUGCAACUGUUUAUUAAAAACACAGCACUGUGCAAACACGAAAGUGGACGUAUACGGUGUGACGCCUGCCCGGUGCCGGAAGGUUAAUUGAUGGGGUCAGCGCAAGCGAAGCUCCUGAUCGAAGCCCCGGUAAACGGCGGCCGUAACUAUAACGGUCCUAAGGUAGCGAAAUUCCUUGUCGGGUAAGUUCCGACCUGCACGAAUGGCGUAAUGAUGGCCAGGCUGUCUCCACCCGAGACUCAGUGAAAUUGAACUCGCUGUGAAGAUGCAGUGUACCCGCGGCAAGACGGAAAGACCCCGUGAACCUUUACUAUAGCUUGACACUGAACAUUGAGCCUUGAUGUGUAGGAUAGGUGGGAGGCUUUGAAGUGUGGACGCCAGUCUGCAUGGAGCCGACCUUGAAAUACCACCCUUUAAUGUUUGAUGUUCUAACGUGGACCCGUAAUCCGGGUUGCGGACAGUGUCUGGUGGGUAGUUUGACUGGGGCGGUCUCCUCCUAAAGAGUAACGGAGGAGCACGAAGGUUGGCUAAUCCUGGUCGGACAUCAGGAGGUUAGUGCAAUGGCAUAAGCCAGCUUGACUGCGAGCGUGACGGCGCGAGCAGGUGCGAAAGCAGGUCAUAGUGAUCCGGUGGUUCUGAAUGGAAGGGCCAUCGCUCAACGGAUAAAAGGUACUCCGGGGAUAACAGGCUGAUACCGCCCAAGAGUUCAUAUCGACGGCGGUGUUUGGCACCUCGAUGUCGGCUCAUCACAUCCUGGGGCUGAAGUAGGUCCCAAGGGUAUGGCUGUUCGCCAUUUAAAGUGGUACGCGAGCUGGGUUUAGAACGUCGUGAGACAGUUCGGUCCCUAUCUGCCGUGGGCGCUGGAGAACUGAGGGGGGCUGCUCCUAGUACGAGAGGACCGGAGUGGACGCAUCACUGGUGUUCGGGUUGUCAUGCCAAUGGCACUGCCCGGUAGCUAAAUGCGGAAGAGAUAAGUGCUGAAAGCAUCUAAGCACGAAACUUGCCCCGAGAUGAGUUCUCCCUGAGACUUAGAGUCUCCUGAAGGAACGUUGAAGACGACGACGUUGAUAGGCCGGGUGUGUAAGCGCAGCGAUGCGUUGAGCUAACCGGUACUAAUGAACCGUGAGGCUUAACCUU
This 2903-nucleotide ribosomal RNA is filed under the name Salmonella enterica subsp. enterica serovar Goldcoast. Its description in RNAcentral is "23S ribosomal RNA". It matches the Rfam family "Bacterial large subunit ribosomal RNA". Lineage: Bacteria; Pseudomonadati; Pseudomonadota; Gammaproteobacteria; Enterobacterales; Enterobacteriaceae. The record is from RNAcentral.